GAGGGUAUAGCUCAGUGGUAGAACAUGUGCUUAGCAUUCACGAGGUCUUGGGUCAAUCCCCAGUACCUCCA
Molecule: transfer RNA, 71 nt
Filed under: Camelus bactrianus (Bactrian camel)
Lineage: Eukaryota; Metazoa; Chordata; Mammalia; Artiodactyla; Camelidae
Also listed under: 2 other names
Rfam family: tRNA
About the family: Transfer RNA (tRNA) molecules are approximately 80 nucleotides in length. Their secondary structure includes four short double-helical elements and three loops (D, anti-codon, and T loops). Further hydrogen bonds mediate the characteristic L-shaped molecular structure. tRNAs have two regions of fundamental functional importance: the anti-codon, which is responsible for specific mRNA codon recognition, and the 3' end, to which the tRNAs corresponding amino acid is attached (by aminoacyl-tRNA synthetases). tRNAs cope with the degeneracy of the genetic code in two manners: having more than one tRNA (with a specific anti-codon) for a particular amino acid; and 'wobble' base-pairing, i.e. permitting non-standard base-pairing at the 3rd anti-codon position.
Source: Rfam by way of RNAcentral